RNAcentral lists this long non-coding RNA (222 nucleotides) under Brassica rapa (field mustard). RNAcentral's name for it is "long non-coding RNA (BRAP_LNC006649)". The record is from RNAcentral. Lineage: Eukaryota; Viridiplantae; Streptophyta; Magnoliopsida; Brassicales; Brassicaceae.
UACCUCAUAUAUAAUAUAAUAAAAUUAAUUAAUUUAUUAACCCAUGGUUCACCCGCAGUCAACUCAAAAACCUUUCGGAGACCCAAGAAGUUAUCCGGUUCAGUGUUCGGGUCGGGUUUCAAAACACUGUUAAGAACCAAAUAUAUUAUCUUAAAUAUUUAUUUCUUAACUCAUCGAAUUAAUAUUAUGUGCAAGCCUCCUUAGUCCAAUGGUUUUAUUAAG